CGAAAGCUGCGCUAAUACCGCAUACGCCUGAGGGAAGCGGGGACCGUAAGGCCUCGCGCGAUUAGAGCGGCCGAUAUCUGAUUAGCUUGUUGGUAGGGUAAAGCCCACCAAGGCGACGAUCAGUAGCUGGUCUGAGAGGACGAUCAGCCACACUGGGACUGAGACACGGCCCAGACUCCUACGGGAGGCAGCAGGUGGGUAAUUUGGACAAUGGGGGCAACCCUGAUCCAGCAAUGCCGCGUGAGUGAAGAAGGCCUUCGGGUUGUAAAGCUCUUUUGUCAGGGAAGAAACAGCAGCUCUAACACAGUCUGCGAAUGACGGUACCUGAAGAAUAAGCACCGGCUAACUACGUG
This 353-nucleotide ribosomal RNA is filed under the name uncultured bacterium. Its description in RNAcentral is "bacterial SSU rRNA". It matches the Rfam family "Bacterial small subunit ribosomal RNA", at positions 152 to 507 of the family's 1533-position model. The record is from RNAcentral.